UGCCUUAUAGUUCAGUCAGUAGAACAUGAGACUCUUAAUCCCAGUGUUGUGGGUUCAAGCCCCAUGUUGGCCAA
Podarcis lilfordi (Lilford's wall lizard) is the source of this 74-nucleotide non-coding RNA. NCBI's taxonomy places the organism in Eukaryota, Metazoa, Chordata, Lepidosauria, Squamata, Lacertidae. The record is from the annotation of a GenBank genome assembly.